GGGGAUUUAGUUUAGUGGCAUACACCUGCCUCCUAAGCAGUAGGUCCUGAGUUCAAUCCCCA
Molecule: transfer RNA, 62 nt
Filed under: Fukomys damarensis (Damara mole-rat)
Lineage: Eukaryota; Metazoa; Chordata; Mammalia; Rodentia; Bathyergidae
Rfam family: tRNA
About the family: Transfer RNA (tRNA) molecules are approximately 80 nucleotides in length.
Source: Rfam by way of RNAcentral